UGCCUCUGCCUCCUGAAGUACUGGGAUUACAGGUGUGCGCCACUGCGCCCGGCCCCUAAAGUGCUGGGAUUACAGGUGUGCGCCACCGCGCCCGGCCCCCAAAGUGCUAGGAUUACAGGUGUGAGCCAGCGCGCCCGGCCCCUGAAGUCCUGGGAUUACAGGUGUGAGCCAGCGCGCCCAGCCCCGGAAGUGCUGGGAUUACAGGUGUGAGCCAGCGCGCCCAGCUGCCCACACUUUUUUGUAUACUCCCCAGCUGGGUUUGGUCAUUGGCAGGCAGAGUCAUGAAGCUGCCUGUGCUGGGACAGGGCCCAUGGCGCACCUGAGCCACUGGCGGCUGGGACCCAGGCCCGG
This 351-nucleotide long non-coding RNA is filed under the name Homo sapiens (human). RNAcentral's name for it is "HSALNT0355501". The record is from RNAcentral. Lineage: Eukaryota; Metazoa; Chordata; Mammalia; Primates; Hominidae.